AAUAAAGCAGAAGAGCGAACUUUGGGAGCUUGCUCCCAAGAUUAUUGUCGCUCGGGUGAGUAAGAAAUGGGCAACCUGCCUAUAAGACUGGGAUAACUUCGGGAAACCGGAGCUAAUACCGGAUAAUUCCUUUCCUCUCAUGAGGAAAGGUUGAAAGACGGUUUCGGCUGUCACUUAUAGAUGGGCCCGCGGCGCAUUAGCUAGUUGGUGAGGUAACGGCUCACCAAGGCAACGAUGCGUAGCCGACCUGAGAGGGUGAUCGGCCACACUGGGACUGAGACACGGCCCAGACUC
This 294-nucleotide unclassified non-coding RNA is filed under the name uncultured bacterium. RNAcentral's name for it is "partial contains 16S ribosomal RNA and 16S-23S ribosomal RNA intergenic spacer region". It matches the Rfam family "Bacterial small subunit ribosomal RNA", at positions 60 to 338 of the family's 1533-position model. The record is from RNAcentral.